CCCUUCGGGAGCCUAUACAGGUGUUGCAUGGCUGUCGUCAGCUCGUGUCGUGAGAUGUUCGGUUAAGUCCGCUAACGAGCGCAACCCUCGUCGUAUGUUAUAUGUGUCAUACGAGACUGCCGGUAAAAAGCCGGAGGAAGGUGAGGAUGAUGUCAAGUCAGCAUGACCUUUAUAUCCAGGGCUACACACACGCUACAAUGGUCUGUACAAUGGGUAGCCAAGCCGCGAGGCGGAGCCAAUCCUGAAAGCAGGCCUCAGUUCAGAUUGCAGUCUGCAACUCGACUGCAUGAAGCCGGAGUUGCUAGUAACCGCAGGUCAGCAAUACUGCGGUGAAUACGUUCCCGGGUCUU
Molecule: ribosomal RNA, 350 nt
Filed under: uncultured Anaerolineaceae bacterium
Lineage: Bacteria; Bacillati; Chloroflexota; Anaerolineae; Anaerolineales; Anaerolineaceae
Description: bacterial SSU rRNA
Rfam family: Bacterial small subunit ribosomal RNA
Source: RNAcentral